Molecule: transfer RNA, 109 nt
Organism: Trametes versicolor FP-101664 SS1
Lineage: Eukaryota; Fungi; Basidiomycota; Agaricomycetes; Polyporales; Polyporaceae
Rfam family: tRNA
About the family: Transfer RNA (tRNA) molecules are approximately 80 nucleotides in length.
Source: Rfam
CCUUCGAUAGCUCAGUUGGAAGAGCGUGGGACUGUAAUUGGAAACCAGGAUUGUACCCCCAAUCCCUGAGAUCAUCCCAAGGUCACUGGUUCGAUCCCGGUUCGAAGGA